RNAcentral lists this transfer RNA (83 nucleotides) under Candidatus Phytoplasma melaleucae. Its description in RNAcentral is "tRNA-Leu". It matches the Rfam family "tRNA". Rfam says of the family: Transfer RNA (tRNA) molecules are approximately 80 nucleotides in length. Their secondary structure includes four short double-helical elements and three loops (D, anti-codon, and T loops). Lineage: Bacteria; Bacillati; Mycoplasmatota; Mollicutes; Acholeplasmatales; Acholeplasmataceae. The record is from RNAcentral.
GCGGAUGUGGCGGAAUGGUAGACGCACUAGACUUAGGAUCUAGCGCUUUAAGCGUACAGGUUCAAGUCCUGUCAUCCGUACCA